AAAAAUUGCUUGUUUUAUAUAUAUGAUAUCAUGGUUUAUUUCUAGCAUCAAAAUUGAAAUAAUGUAACAGUGAAGCGUGCGAGUUAACAAUGAGGGCAAGUCUGCUCUGUCGCCAGCAAAUUUGUUUAUUUCGCAGCAUCAAGGUUAGAUCUCGACCUUCACAUAUUUAUCUUCAUAUAAAAGAAACGAAUAACACAUUAACAGUGACACGCAAGUUCAUGUAAUCUCACAAUUAUUUGUAGCCCACCACCAUCAAUUGAUAUAUUUUUAACCACCAAAGAUCGCUUACAACAACGUUUUGUCGCACCACCUAUUGAUCACAAAAAGCUCCUCUUCUUAACUUCCUCCACAAACUCCACAAUACUCCUUGUCGACAACCCAUCCUUCACUACUGCCGCCUGUGCUUCCUUCUUCAACCUUGUCGCGUUCCUCCUCAACACCUCUGCCUUCUCCCCCACCGUCGCCUCCACCAAACACCUCUCAACAACGUCCCUCUUCACCAGCUUCGUCGUCUUCCCCAACUUCACACCCACUUCAAAAACAUCCACCAAAAGCUUCGCGUCCAACACCUGAUCCCCCCAUUGCGAGAACGUCACCACCGGCUUCCCACCACUAAUCGCCUCCAUCGUGGAGUUCCAUCCACAGUGCGUCACGAAACACGCCACCGCAGGAUGCCUUAACACCUCCUCCUGCGGGGCCCACUUCACCACUUUACCAUUCUCCUCCAGCCCCGGGGGAAACACAAUCGGUCCGUCACCUUCUCCCGGACUGGGCCGAACAACCCAUAAAAAGGACAAGCCCGAGUUUAUAAGCCCGUAAGCAAACUCCUCCCUCUGAGUGGGGUCCAUCGACGCAAUAGACCCCAACGACACGUAGACCACCGAUGACUCGUCUUUGCCGUCCAGCCAUUUGAUGCAAUUGUCGUCUACUUCCAUGAGGUCCCCACCACUUAUUUUCCCAGCGAGACACACCGGGCCCACCGGCUUGAUCAUUUUGUCGUGGAAGAAUGUGGACAAGUGACGGAUAACCUCCGGCUCUAACUCCUGGAAAGUCUCCAUUAAUAUGCACAAGACUUUGUCGUUGUCCAGGUAGGCAAACUGGUCGAAGACCGCCGUAGCCAGGUAAGGAUACGGCGUGGAAGGGAGGAGAAAGGUUGGGAUGUCGUCG
RNAcentral lists this long non-coding RNA (1167 nucleotides) under Linum usitatissimum (flax). Its description in RNAcentral is "long non-coding RNA (LUSI_LNC003182)". The record is from RNAcentral. Lineage: Eukaryota; Viridiplantae; Streptophyta; Magnoliopsida; Malpighiales; Linaceae.